This 713-nucleotide ribosomal RNA is filed under the name bacterium IMCC7222. Its description in RNAcentral is "bacterial SSU rRNA". It matches the Rfam family "Bacterial small subunit ribosomal RNA", at positions 28 to 732 of the family's 1533-position model. The record is from RNAcentral.
AUUGAACGCUGGCGGUAUGCUUAACACAUGCAAGUCGAACGGAAACGAUACUAGCUUGCUAGUAGGCGUCGAGUGGCGGACGGGUGAGUAACGCGUAGGAAUCUGCCUGAUAGUGGGGGAUAGCCCGGAGAAAUUCGGAUUAAUACCGCAUAAUCUAUUCGUAGUAAAGUGGGGGACUUUCGAGCCUCACGCUAUCAGAUGAGCCUGCGUAAGAUUAGCUAGUUGGUAGGGUAAAAGCCUACCAAGGCGACGAUCUUUAGCUGGUCUGAGAGGAUGAUCAGCCACAUCGGGACUGAGACACGGCCCGAACUCCUACGGGAGGCAGCAGUGGGGAAUAUUGGACAAUGGGGGCAACCCUGAUCCAGCAAUACCGCGUGUGUGAAGAAGGCCUGAGGGUUGUAAAGCACUUUCAAUUGUGAAGAAAAGUUAGCGGUUAAUAACCGUUAGCCUUGACGUUAACUUUAGAAGAAGCACCGGCUAACUCCGUGCCAGCAGCCGCGGUAAUACGGAGGGUGCAAGCGUUAAUCGGAAUUACUGGGCGUAAAGCGUGCGUAGGCGGUUUAUUAAGUCAGAUGUGAAAGCCCCGGGCUUAACCUGGGAACUGCAUUUGAAACUGGUAAACUAGAGUAUGGUAGAGGAAAGUGGAAUUUCUGGUGUAGCGGUGAAAUGCGUAGAUAUCAGAAGGAACAUCAAUGGCGAAGGCAGCUUUCUGG